Molecule: ribosomal RNA, 403 nt
Filed under: uncultured bacterium
Lineage: Bacteria
Description: partial 16S ribosomal RNA
Rfam family: Bacterial small subunit ribosomal RNA
Source: RNAcentral
AUUGAACGCUGGCGGCAGGCCUAACACAUGCAAGUCGAGCGAGCGGCGGACGGGUGAGUAAUGUAUGGGGACUGCCCGAUAGAGGGGGAUAACUACUGGAAACGGUGGCUAAUACCGCAUAUUAUCGGAUAACCCAUAUGGGAUUAGCUAGUAGGCGGGGUAAAGGCUCACCUAGGCGACGAUCUCUAGCUGGUCUGAGAGGAUGACCAGCCGCGCUGGGACUGAGACACGGCCCAGACUCCCACGGAGGCGGCAGUGGGGAAGAUGGCACAAUGGACUCAAGCCUGUUGCAGCCAUGCCGCGUGUAUGAAGAAGGCCUUAGGGUUGUAGAGUACUUUCAGCAGGAAGGCGUUACCCGCAGAAGAAGCACCGGCUAACUCCGUGCCAGCAGCCGCGGUAAUUC